CGUAGGGGGCGAGCGUUGUCCGGAAUCAUUGGGCGUAAAGAGCUCGUAGGCGGCUCAGUAAGUCGGGUGUGAAGCCCCCAGGCUCAACCUGGGGACGCCACCCGAUACUGCUGUGGCUAGAGUCCAGUAGGGGAGUGUGGAAUUCCCGGUGUAGCGGUGAAAUGCGCAGAUAUCGGGAGGAACACCAGCGGCGAAGGCGGCACUCUGGGCUGGAACUGACGCUGAGGAGCGAAAGCGUGGGUAGCAAACAGGAUUAGAUACCCUGGUAGUCCACGCCGUAAACGUUGGGCACUAGGUGUGGGGACCCUCCAACGGUCUCCGUGCCGUAGCUAACGCAUUAAGUGCCCCGCCUGGGGAGUACGGCCGCAAGGCUA
RNAcentral lists this ribosomal RNA (374 nucleotides) under uncultured organism. RNAcentral describes it as "bacterial SSU rRNA". It matches the Rfam family "Bacterial small subunit ribosomal RNA", at positions 526 to 896 of the family's 1533-position model. The record is from RNAcentral.